Molecule: long non-coding RNA, 676 nt
Organism: Sorghum bicolor (sorghum)
Lineage: Eukaryota; Viridiplantae; Streptophyta; Magnoliopsida; Poales; Poaceae
Exons: 3
Source: RefSeq, a predicted model, not a curated record
GCCACAUCUCUUUCCCAGCAGCCACUUUCCCUCCUGUUCAUGCUCCUCCCUUCCAGAAACUCCCCCACCCUUCUUCCCUGCGCCCUCUCCCUCUCUAGCACCUUCCCCAAUCCAGUGAUAACCAAGGGAAGGAGAGGAAUGGAUUGAGGACGAGGAGAGGAUCGAUUAGGGCUGCAACAUGGUGUAGAUCGACUUUUCCCCAUUUGUUUCUUGCUGCCCUAGCUUGGGGAUAACCAAGAAACUAAAUGGAUCGACCGGCUGCGUGUGGCAGAGGAGAUGGGUGUUACUACUGUGAAACAAGUGGAUCAGGGCAUUCAGUUUUGAGGACUAUAAAAGCCACAAAACUAUUUUCAACUAAAGGUCUGCAAUCAGCAAACAAGAUCUCAGGGGGUUGAUAGUUCUUCUCAGAGACCUUCUCAAGGUGCUGCAAGAUCAUCUUAGAUACGCUAGGCAAUGUUAUAUUGUUGGCAAGAAAGGUGCUGGGAGUAAACUUGAAUGCUUUUGGACUAGAUGCUAUCUUAUAGUGUACUAAAUACUAUAUUUGAAUGCUUUUGGAGUACAAUCUGGUAGUUUUAGUUUGUGAACUUGAACCUGAUGGUCAUAAUGUUGGAUCACUUUUAGAUGACUUACCUAGAUUAUGUAUUCAGCUACUAUAUGUAUGCUUGUAUGUUGCUUU